UCAGGUAUGUUGUCACCUUGUAGUGUGUGGGCCAUCUCAUGCUCAAUGCUCAUUAUCCAUCGAGGAAUUUUUAGCUCAAUUUUUUGCUAUAUUAAUAGGUGUUUUUAUUACUAGAUGGAUUCUUCCAAGAAUAUAUUUCAGUUGACUGUUUUUUUUUGUCAAUGUCAUAUUUUAUAGAAUCUUGAUCAUUUGAUACAAAUUCGUCAUCUCUCAUUCUCAGUAACUUUACAUUCAUCUCUUAUUCUCUUCUUUAGUUCACCACCCAAUCCAUUAUUCACAUCUUUCAUUUUCUACUCUCAAGUUCCUAUUGUAUUUCACUUUUUUGAUGGCACCAAAUCAAUAACAUCAAUGAGGAUAUGGAUAUAUUGCCUAUAAUACAACAAUGAUGAUGAAGGAUCAUAGUAGCUUGCGGCCUACAGCUACACCAUUCCUACAACAAAUCAUGAUCCUCAAGUUUCAACCAUAUUGUAGCCUAUAUAUUCUUGGUUCACACAUGCUCUUCUACUGCCUAUAACUAAAUCAAUGAGGUCAUAGGAUAUCAUGUUGUAUCACUGCCAACUAGAGCUGAACCGAUAAUAUCAAUCCUUUUCAGAAGAUCAAGAUGCAACAUCAGUCAUCAGCUACAAGUCAUUCCAAGGUAUCUUGGCAUUGGAUUUGUACAAUUGAAGUCACUAAGGCAGUAAUAACAUUAUCUGAUGGCUAUGCCUGUAAGACAGAAUGUAUAUUCAUUAAUCCAUGUGCUCCUGUUUGCUGUGUUUUUUUUUUUAAAAAAAAUCAUGUGACUAAUCAUGGAAUUCCUUAUUUUACAUGCAUUCUUUAUAUAUAUAUAUAUAUAUGUCCCAACUUAGGUUUGUGCCUUGGCUUGAUAAGGAUUAGCCCUUAUUGCUUGACCCGACCUAUGGACCAAGUUAGGCAUGAUAGGUCACUAUUUUUUUCUUAAUAGGCUGUGUCAAAAAGGUAUGACUCAGAUCACGUCAGAUUAGGUUGGAUCACCUAUGACUUAGCCUAUUUAACAUCUCUACUUGUGUUGGGUUAUGGCAUUGGCAUGAGAUUGUCCCUAGUUAGGCCUGCCUUGACAUGAUUGAAGUUGUGCAUGAUCAAACAUGGCCCAAUUGGAGCUAGGUAGUCUCAUGAAUCCCCUUGCUCAUGUGAUUUAACUUGUGUCAAUUUUUAAGGAAACCAAGGGUAGGAUUUCUCUCACCCUUACCAAAGAUGUUUGUUGUGUUGUCUUUGCUCUACCAUUUGUCUAUAAGCAAGUUCGAGCAAGGGGUUACAUGGUCAAGUCGCUUGCAAAAAGUAAUGCACCUUUUGUUGGGAUCAUUUGCAAAGAUAGAUUAGUUUUUUUCCCUUCAAAAUAGUUAUCAAUAUUUAUCAUUAUAAACUAAUUAAUUGAAAGUGUAGAUUUAUAUUCAAAUGAUUGCAUGCUCAUUAUUCAAUAGAAUGCACCUUUUGUAUCUCCUUAUUUUCUCUUACAGUUUGGUCCUUUUAAUUAGCGACUAAAAGUUUUAUUCUUGUCAAAAAUGUCUAAAAUUUGUUAUCUUCCUGCAAAAAGUCUCAUAAGUUAGUUUGACAAAAUGUUCUUGGAAGUCUACCUUUCUUAUUGUCAAAAUAUUUUUUAAAUGGAAAGUUUUAUGUCUAUCUUUCAGUGCUUCCUUAUGAUCUUAAAAUUUACCUCUGUAAACAUGACCUCUUAUUUUCACUAUUUGCUAGGAUUUUGAAAUUCCUUGGGACUUUUCCAAACAAAAGAAGUGCAUAUAUAAAAUGACAGAGGCAUUUUGCAAAAAAAAGUGUAGGCUGUUUUGAAAGGUAAGCCAGUAAGCUGGAGGAUGUUCUAAAUCCAGAGAAAAGGCAGUUGGAAAAGUUUGCACCUGUAUGAAAAAGGUUAACAUCAAGCUUUCAGUCUGCGACUGUCACCUACUGUCUUCAGCAACGCAAUGGGGGUGGUAACACAAUUGCUCGGUUGCUUCCCAUAGUUCGAAAUGCAGCAUUCUUGAGACCAUAUUUUCUGAAGGACAUGUGUAAACUUCUUGUGAGAUGUCGGAAUGUUAUGUAAAAUUUUGAUAUAAACCAUGUUUGCU
Zingiber officinale is the source of this 2078-nucleotide long non-coding RNA. RefSeq lists it as uncharacterized. NCBI's taxonomy places the organism in Eukaryota, Viridiplantae, Streptophyta, Magnoliopsida, Zingiberales, Zingiberaceae. The record is from RefSeq and is a predicted model, not a curated record. The transcript has 2 exons.